This 372-nucleotide long non-coding RNA is filed under the name Fragaria vesca (wild strawberry). RNAcentral describes it as "long non-coding RNA (FVES_LNC002761)". Lineage: Eukaryota; Viridiplantae; Streptophyta; Magnoliopsida; Rosales; Rosaceae. The record is from RNAcentral.
GAUCCUCAGGAAGUACAAACUCGGGUUCAGAAUCCUCAGACUCCUGUUACUCCAGUGAGUGCUCCUGUUGCUCCUGCUAUCUCGGCCACUGCGCAGCAUCAGCCUUCACCUCGUCUGUCUAGGCAGCAACUGCAGCAGCAGCUUCCACCUCCCCCCUCUCUCCCCCCUCCACCACCCCUGUCUAGCCUUCCCCCAAAAGAGCGGCUUCCUCUGCCACCCCCACCUCCUCUGUUGGAGAAAGUUGAUCCUCCGCUCGUCACUUUGGAUGACCUCUUCCGAAAAACUAAAGCAACCCCUCGGAUCUAUUACCUACCUUUAUCCCAAGAACAAGUAGAGGCAAAACUUGCGGCCCAGGGAAGAAAUCCUAAGCAG